Molecule: long non-coding RNA, 2743 nt
Filed under: Homo sapiens (human)
Lineage: Eukaryota; Metazoa; Chordata; Mammalia; Primates; Hominidae
Description: non-protein coding lnc-C13orf42-1:7
Source: RNAcentral
CAGGAGCUGCUGGCCUUGCGCAAAAAAUAUCUCAGCAGCUUCAGUGAUCUGAAGCCCCACCGCACCCAGGGGAUUUCCUCAACCUCCUCCAAAUCCUCCAAGGGAGGGAAAAAGACUCCUGUCCGGUCUACUCCCAAAGAAAUAAAGAAAGCAACCCCAAAGAAAUACUCGCAGUUCAGUGCUGAUGUGGCCGAGGCCAUUGCCUUCUUUGACUCCAUCAUUGCAGAGCUGGAUACAGAGAGACGACCCCGGGCUGCUGAGGCCAGCCUGCCAAAUGAAGAUGUGGACUUUGACGUGGCCACCAGCUCCAGGGAGCACAGCUUGCAUUCUAACUGGAUCCUGCGGGCACCGCGCAGACACUCCGAGGAUAUCGCUGCCCACACUGUGCAUACUGUAGACGGCCAGUUUCGAAGGAGCACCGAGCACAGGACCGUGGGCACUCAGAGGAGACUCGAGAGGCACCCCAUUUAUUUGCCCAAGGCUGUGGAAGGGGCCUUCAACACCUGGAAAUUUAAGCCCAAAGCCUGCAAAAAAGACCUGGGGAGCUCCAGACAGAUCCUUUUCAACUUCUCAGGAGAAGAUAUGGAGUGGGAUGCAGAGCUCUUUGCGUUGGAGCCCCAGUUGUCUCCUGGGGAGGACUACUAUGAGACAGAGAACCCCAAAGGACAGUGGCUGCUUCGAGAAAGACUUUGGGAGCGGACGGUGCCCUGACUCCAUCUGGAUUCCUUGACGUGUCUCAGACUGGGUCCCUGAGAAGCUGUCCGCUUUCAGCGCAGCAUGAGGUAUUUGGUAGAGUUGAAAAUGCCAAUUGUAACACAGUCAACCCACUCAGCACACUGCCUGCUGGUGCCGUGCCAGUGCCAAACAGACCUGUGGCUUCCCAGGGGACAGGUCUCAGGACACUCUCAGAGCUUGAGUUUCUCUGCGUGGGCUGAUGACCAGGGACUUACAGCCUGGCUGGUCUUCAAGAGCUGAAGGAAUGGAAGGUCUUGAGUGGAGUGUCUGGGCUCACUCCCCUGACCUCACCUGGCCUGGUCCUCAUUCUCCACGUGUCUGUCCAGGUGGCUGCUAGCAAUGUGCUCAGUACCAGAAAUGAACUCACCUGUAGAUUUCUGGGCCAAAGCUUCAAAGAGGUAGCUCCUCUUUCUAUGAGGCUCAGAGACAUGCUGGAUCUGCACUGAGGUUGCCGUCUUGUGUGCAGAAUGCAGUUGAGAAAGCAGCUCCUUUUGCUCUCUUUUCAGAGUUUUCCAGAAACUCCUGCUGCAUUAAGCUAAGAUGAGGCUAAUGCCCUGGCAAUGGGGUGAGGGAAGGGGUAUGUCACGAGCCUGCCUGGGGGCCACACUGUUUCCUCAGGCCCCAAAACUCAGCUCCCCUUCACAUAGGCAAUUGACAAGAGAAGAAGGGAGAUGGGGUGAUUCUUUUCUUUUUCUUCUAAUUCUUACCCAGAAAAAUCUUUUUAAAUAUCCAUGGAACCAGUUUAUGACAGGCCACACCUUUCCCUUUCCCCAGUUAAGAGAACAAUCAGAAUCAUUACGUUCUUUUGGUAUAGAAAGGAUUUCUGUAUUUUAGGAACUAUCUGAAUCAGAAUUACAUUUAAAAUAUAUUCUUUGUAUUUCUAAAUACUUUUUACAUUUUUGCAAUAGUUGUACCCAUUCAAGCUUGAGAACCACUGGUUUGGAGAAUAUACUGAAAUUUAUCUAUUCUCACUUCUUUUUUUGGCAUUUUCUUGUAAACCAGUCUGUGCAUGUAUAAGGGUCUUUGGGCAGAAGGAAGGGAGAGAGACAAAAAACAGAAAACAAAACAAAACAAAGAAAACCACAAUCAUUUGAAUUAAGCCAAGGAUGUUCUAGGCUAAGGUCAGGCUAAGAACUGAACAGAGGCUUCCUUUCUGCCAUGCCUGUGGGAUGAUAUUCUUAUUGUUCCAUUUUUUAGGAAGAACCUUUUGUUUAUGUGAACCUGAUCAUAUGAAUCUAAGAAUAUGUAACUCUUACAAAUAAAAAACAGCUAGUAAUUAUAUUGCAUUCUUAGAAAUUUUAUCUCAACAUGUUUUCAGAAUGAAACCAUACUAGAAAUGUUUUAAUACCUCUCUUUAUUAUUUUUCGAGUGCCAAUGUCAAUGUUUGGAAAGUUUCUUUCAUUUUGUUGCUUGUACUAACCCAGCUAUAGCCAGAAGCUUGACUGGAAAGUAAAUGUUUAGGAGAUUUGUUUUAUAAACUGCAUUAAAGCACUGCCAUUUAUCACCACAGAUCUUUUAUUUUCCCUAAAUGUGGCCUUGUUUGAAGCCUCAUCUAUAAAAGUUCAUUGUUGGGGAUAAACUCAGGAUAAAGGUGUCUUUACUCUGCCUCUUAUCAAACUACAGUUUAUCAUAGAUCCACCCUGAAAUUAUGUGGUGAAGAUACUGUGUACAUUUUGUUUUUAAAGAUAAGAAAAAAUAAACAUGACUGCGAGGAUGUUUGGAGUCCUGAUUUUUUAAAAAGCAUUUAUUGCUUAUGGCACAUGAAGCUGUGCCGUCUUAUUUUGCUUUGUUUUGUAUGUUUUUUGUCUUUCAUGAGACUAUACACAGCCUGAAAAAUUCCAUGAUUGGGAAACAGAAGGUUGUCUUGUCUUUGGGGAUCAUUUUUAGGUGUUUGAAGUUGGUGAUAAACCCAAGGAUCUGUGCUCUGCCUGGGGAAUCUUGAGAUGGUGUCUGGUGGGGUUUGAGAUAAAUGAAAUCUGAAACAAUAAAAGUCAAUUCAGAAAACCCA